UGGGGAAUAUUGCACAAUGGAGGGAACUCUGAUGCAGCGACGCCGCGUGAACGAAGAAGGCUUUCGAGUCGUAAAGUUCUUUUAUAUGGGAAGAUAAUGACGGUACCAUAAGAAGAAGCCCCGGCUAACUACGUACCAGCAGCCGCGGUAAUACGUAGGGGGCUAGCGUUGUCCGGAAUCACUGGGCGUAAAGGGUUCGCAGGCGGAAAUGCAAGUCAGGUGUAAAAGGCAGUAGCUUAACUACUGUAAGCAUUUGAAACUGCAUAUCUUGAGAAGAGUAGAGGUAAGUGGAAUUUUUAGUGUAGCGGUGAAAUGCGUAGAUAUUAAAAAGAAUACCGGUGGCGAAGGCGACUUACUGGGCUCAUUCUGACGCUGAGGAACGAAAGCGUGGGUAGCAAACAGG
Molecule: ribosomal RNA, 403 nt
Filed under: bacterium
Lineage: Bacteria
Description: partial 16S ribosomal RNA
Rfam family: Bacterial small subunit ribosomal RNA
Source: RNAcentral